CGAACGCUGGCGGCAGGCCUAACACAUGCAAGUCGAGCGCACCUUCGGGUGAGCGUCGGACGGGUUAGUAACGCGUGGGAACAUACCCUUCUCUACGGAAUAGCCAUUGGAAACGAUGAGUAAUACCGUAUACGCCCUUCGGGGGAAAGAUUUAUCGGAGAUGGAUUGGCCCGCGUAAGAUUAGAUAGUUGGUGGGGUAAUGGCCUACCAAGUCUACGAUCUUUAGCUGGUUUUAGAGGAUGAUCAGCAACACUGGGACUGAGACACGGCCCAGACUCCUACGGGAGGCAGCAGUGGGGAAUCUUAGACAAUGGGCGCAAGCCUGAUCUAGCCAUGCCGCGUGAGUGAUGAAGGCCUUAGGGUCGUAAAGCUCUUUCGCCAGGGAUGAUAAUGACAGUACCUGGUAAAGAAACCCCGGCUAACUCC
Molecule: ribosomal RNA, 426 nt
Filed under: uncultured bacterium
Lineage: Bacteria
Description: bacterial SSU rRNA
Rfam family: Bacterial small subunit ribosomal RNA
Source: RNAcentral